ACUUGAAUAGCUCAGUUGGUAGAGCAAUCGGCUGUUAACCGAUCGGUCGUAGGUUCGAGUCCUACUUCAAGCGCCA
Molecule: transfer RNA, 76 nt
Filed under: Thomasclavelia spiroformis
Lineage: Bacteria; Bacillati; Bacillota; Erysipelotrichia; Erysipelotrichales; Coprobacillaceae
Description: [Clostridium] spiroforme tRNA-Asn
Rfam family: tRNA
About the family: Transfer RNA (tRNA) molecules are approximately 80 nucleotides in length.
Source: RNAcentral